UACGUAGGGUGCGAGCGUUAAUCGGAAUUACUGGGCGUAAAGCGUGCGCAGGCGGUUCGUUGUGUCGGUGGUGAAAGCCCCGGGCUUAACCUGGGAAUGGCCAUGGAAACUGGCGAACUGGAGUGUGGCAGAGGGGGGUGGAAUUCCGCGUGUAGCAGUGAAAUGCGUAGAGAUCAGGAGGAACACCCGUGGCGAAGGCGGCCCUCUGGCUCGACCCUGACGCUGAGGCGCGAAAGCGUGGGGAGCGAACGGG
This 253-nucleotide ribosomal RNA is filed under the name uncultured bacterium. RNAcentral's name for it is "partial 16S ribosomal RNA". It matches the Rfam family "Bacterial small subunit ribosomal RNA", at positions 524 to 776 of the family's 1533-position model. The record is from RNAcentral.